RNAcentral lists this ribosomal RNA (497 nucleotides) under uncultured bacterium. Its description in RNAcentral is "partial 16S ribosomal RNA". It matches the Rfam family "Bacterial small subunit ribosomal RNA", at positions 28 to 507 of the family's 1533-position model. The record is from RNAcentral.
GAUGAACGCUGGCGGCGUGCCUAAUACAUGCAAGUCGAGCGAACAGACGAGGAGCUUGCUCCACUGACGUUAGCGGCGGACGGGUGAGUAACACGUGGAUAACCUACCUAUAAGACUGGGAUAACUUCGGGAAACCGGAGCUAAUACCGGAUAAUAUAUUGAACCGCAUGGUUCAAUAGUGAAAGACGGUUUUGCUGUCACUUAUAGAUGGAUCCGCGCCGCAUUAGCUAGUUGGUAAGGUAACGGCUUACCAAGGCAACGAUGCGUAGCCGACCUGAGAGGGUGUUCGCCCACACUGGAGCUGGGACACGGUCCAGGCUCCUACGGGAGGCAGCAGUAGGGAAUCUUCCGCAAUGGGCGAAAGCCUGACGGAGCAACGCCGCGUGAGUGAUGAAGGUCUUCGGAGCGUAAAACUCUGUUAUUAGGGUAGAACAAAUGUGUAAGUAACUAUGCACGUCUUGACGGUACCUAGUCAGAAAGCCACGGCUAACUACGUG